Molecule: ribosomal RNA, 253 nt
Filed under: uncultured bacterium
Lineage: Bacteria
Description: partial 16S ribosomal RNA
Rfam family: Bacterial small subunit ribosomal RNA
Source: RNAcentral
UACAGAGGUCUCAAGCGUUGUUCGGAUUCCUUGGGCGUAAAGGGUGCGUAGGCGGCGCGGUAAGUCGGGUGUGAAAUAUCGGAGCUUAACUCCGAAACUGCAUUCGAUACUGCCGUGCUUGAGGACUGGAGAGGAGACUGGAAUUUACGGUGUAGCGGUGAAAUGCGUAGAUAUCGUAAGGAAGACCAGUGGCGAAGGCGGGUCUCUGGACAGUUCCUGACGCUGAGGCACGAAGGUCAGGGGAGCAAACGGG